AAAGGCCAAUGGCUCAGAGAGGUGUCUCGGGUGCCAACCUCCCUGUCUUUCUGUCUGUCAGCUCAGGAGCCGUGAUGCAGAGGCAGAGAGCACCCCGUGCCCCAUCAGCUCCUGGCUCCGUGUCAACAUGUGGGUUGGCAAUAGUGAGCCAACGGCACCCUUGUGGUCUCCAAAAUAUGACGGUGGGUGGGCAUUCCUCAGGUCUGGCUGGGACAGCCCCUCAGGCAAGGGAGCCCGGGCUUCUGCCUCACCCGCCCCAGCCCCUGCAGCAGCCCGCGGAGGGAGGCAGCUCUGUGUGCGUUUGCACACCCCCACCCCCAGGUCAGGCCUGACUCCCCACAUGUCCCCGCAGGCUGACGCAGGGCUGCGCGCACAGCAGGUGCCCCAGGGACAUCCACUGCACGGCGUCUAUGUACGCCCACGGGGCCCUCUCAGUCCUGCAAGGCUUAAGGCUUGUUCUCAAGAGGGUCGCCCUUGGGCCAGGCUCCUUCCUGGCCCUCAGUGACCACAUCUGUGAAAUGGGGGUGGCGGUCAGGCUCACAGGCGGAGGAGCCCUUCCUGCUCUUGCCCUCCACAGGUCCCUUGCUUCAGGAGGAGAGCGGGCGGGAGUGUGGCGUUAGAACCCAAGACAGCUGUGCCUCAUUUACCACCAUAUGAAGAAGCUGAAGCUCAGAAGAGUGACAUACUGGGCAAAUAAUUACACCUUCAUCUCUACUGAGAUCAGAUGCCACAGGUCCAGUGGGGGCCCAGGGGUUGGCUCCUCCAGGAAGCCCGCCAGGAGUGUUGCAUUCUCCAAAGUCUUAAUGAACUUAUUUUGAGGGACAAAAAAGAAAAGAAGGAAGGAAACAUGCAUGAGAUGCUCACUCAUUGGCAAGUACUGCACAGGUACUCAUGGGGUCUGGACCACCCUGUGUAGGGCUCCUUGUACAGAUGUGGAUGUCAAGGUUCAGAAGGCUCAGGCCCAAACCCAGGGCUGGCUAAGUCCCAAGUACAAUGCGCUUUUCUCACUUAGUCAACCCCAUGGUUUAUUAUUCUAGAAUUGAUUCCUGGGUGCUUGUCUCUGCAACUCAGCUCUAAGCCCACCGACUCCAGAGAUUCUGCAGACCCGCGGCCUGGCCCCGGGGGCAGUCAGCAAAGACUCAAGGCCUUGAGAAGGCAGAGGGGUCACGGGCCCUGGAGCAAGCAGGCGGGGUUCAAAUUGCUCAUCUGUCACUUAGCACCGUGACCGUGGGUUCUCAGUUUUCCACUCAGGGCUUUAGCAUCUUCAUCUCUAACGCAGUGGGGGUAAUAACCCCGAGUCUCCGGCUCACCACGUGAUGUGUUGGGGAGGAGAUGAACUGUGAGUUUCAAGCACGCGGCAUGGCCCAGAGCGGGUGCACAAUACAGAAGAGCUAACUGCUCUCAUCAGCUCCCAGUGUGCACUGGGUGCCCCCCACUCCUGGUUGUGACCUGGCCCUCCCGUCCUGGAGGGCACCUGCCUCCUCUGCUCCCCGUGCUCUAGCUCUGGGCACCCAGGGGCCUGUUCGUCUUUGUGUCACUAGCUGUGGGUGGCUAGUGUGACCCUGCCCUGCCUCCCGGCUCUUCACCCUGUGAACCAGGUGGGGCUCCUUGGUGCCUCCAGCCGCCCAGAGGGAGGCAGGGAACUCAGUGAAGGUGCUGGCCUCCCCCUGGCCUGCUGGGAGCUGUGGAGGAGCCCUGGAGAUGGUCUCCUGGCUUCACAGCCAGGGGUGCGGUGGGCAUUUGCCAAGGGGACCAGAGCACCGCCCUGCAGAUUUGCUGUAGACUGAGGCUGGUGGCGUCUCAAUCCCCAGGAUGGUGGCAGCCAAGCCCCCAGGCAGGGUGGAAGAGGGGGCGGGGAUAGGGAGACGAAGCCACUUAAGUCAGCCACCAGGAGGUGUGAUGGGCAGAGCCUGUCUGCAUGAUCUGGGCUUCUGGCUAGUUCUCCCAUCCUUGGUCUCAGGUGGCAGUGGCUCCCUUGGGUGCUCAAACCAAGCUGACCUCUCAAAGGGUAGUUUGGGCCCAUCUGAGGCAGGAGUGCUGGGACCUGUAGGUUUUCUUCUUUGCACUCAGUCGUUACGUGGAGAGAGGUGCGGAGGGGUCAGAGAUUCUUUCCUAAGCUGCUGCUUCCGUAUCUCUCUAUAUACACCCCGCUGUGAAGCUCUGAGCCUGAUCUUGAUGAAGGACGUUCUUUUUUUUAUCUGCGGGCGUCCAUUUCCCGGGGGCGGGUGGUCCUAUUUUAUGAUCUCCAGGGGGAAUUAUCCUCAUUUGAUUGUUUCUUGCUCCUUUCUGUCUCCCCCACUACUUUGGAAACCUCCCCACAGAGAUUGCGGGGUUUUCAUCUGUGCUGGGACCCCAGUGCCUAGCCCCAGAGGGGCUCGGUAAGUCUCCUCUACAGGAAUGGGAGGCCCCGUCAUCAGGCCGGGCUGGAUAAGUGAUGGCAGGAGCAGAGGAAUAUGAGGUUCAUUUAGAAAGUUCUUCUGACCAUCCAGGGGUGUUCAUGACACUCAGCUCGUUAGAUCGCCUGCAUAAACUGCAGCAGGGCCAGGCCCACGCCCUGCACAAAUGAAAGUUCCUGAGACCCGGAGAGAGGAAGCAUCACAGGCCAGAUGACACCACUGGCUGGAGGGACAGCAGCAGGAGUGUGUCUCCCUGGCUUGAAGUUGGAUCAGGCUCCUGCAACAGUGCACAAAGGGGUCACAUUUCCACCUGGAAAUGGAGCCUCAGGCUCCUGAAUCAAAACCGGUUCUACCCUCCCUCACUUUGGUGCACGGGUCUGGUUGAGACUCAGCCACGGCUCUUGGAGCGGAUGUACAGAGCAAGCCUCAACCAACUGGAUGUACAGAACAAGCCUCCUCUGGCCACGGUGAUUAGUUCAGUGGGCUUGGCCAUGUGACACCAGCUGGGCCAAUCAGAACGAGUCUCUGGAUAUUUGCUGGACAUGUGGUUCUCCAUCCCCACUGUCAUCCAUUGCUGCAUCCUUGCCCUGGGAUCUCUGGGAUGUCAUGGCUGGAGAGAGAAAAACGUACAUGGUAUUGGACACUGGAUUUGUCCAGAUGGGUUCUCAGAGCUCAAGGAGUCAGGAGUCAUGAUGGGAAGGACCGCAGGAAAUAGAUUAAGGAUCUCCAAGACCACUUGUCAUUGCUGGGUAAGCCCCUUCCUGACCGACUUAUCUAGAAAAAACACAAGUCACAGGCCAGGGAGAGACCGGACCUCAUGGCCCUUAUGAGACACAGCCUCUGCGUUCCUGAGGAUGCCCAUGGAGCCAGGCACAGCUGUCGGUUUCUCCCGUGAUUUACACCUAACGUGGGUGUGGCACACCUGGGCUGGAGCUGCACCUGUGGAAAGCUACGCUCGUUUCUGUUUCCUGCUGGCUGACACAGAACUUUACAAAGACACCACUGGACUGAGGUGUGACUUCAGAAAGCCACAAAGGAGGGAGAGGCUCCAGUCAGCACUUCUUCCUCAGCUUCUCACAGAAGAGGGGACUGUCCCUUCUGCUCUGGGCCCCAGGCUGGUGAACUCAGAGGGGGCAUUCUCUCCCAGGUUGUGCAGGUGCAGGCUGGCCCUCAACGCAGAGCCCCCCCGCCUUAAGUUUGACACCCUAGGUGCCUCCGGUGCCUCAUGCUCGUCCUGGGCCCACCACAGGUCUAACCUGGGGGCCUGGGUGACCUUGGUGCCGAGCUCGGAGACUUCUCAGCCUGCACACAUGCUGUGGCUUGAAGAACAGAGUGUAAGGACCUCCUCGGAGGGCUCUCCAGUCUGCCCCGCACUGUGCACUGUGCCUGUGGGGCUACAGCUCCCCAAGGCUCGCCACACUCCCUCUGCCAUGCCAUCCUGGUCCUGGCCCGCUGGGUGAUGGAGGACCUUUGGCCUCAAACUUAAAAUGGGUCUCAUUAGCCACUUCCAUGGAGCCUCAUCAGACGCCUUGGCGGAAUGGCAGCUUGGGGCAUUACUCCUCAAGCACUUCAUGCCCAGUGCCCAGAAGCAUGGUGUGCGAAACGGUGGAGGGGAGAGUUCUGUGCUACUCCAGCUGGUCAGAUCCGCUGGGAGAGCUGCAUUUCCAUAGGGCAACCAAGGGGCCCGGGCCACUGAAUGGGGAGUGGGUAGCAAAGGGCUGAGCAAUACACCUGUGUCCGAAAGAUGCUCAACCUGAUCGGAAAACAGGGACGUGUAAACUAGAGCAGCAGGGCCCAAAGGUGCUUUUUGCACCUGUCAGAUGGCCAGUCCCAGUACCUGGGACCAGAGCUGGGUAUUUUCUCUCCUCUCAGCACUGGCCAAGCUGUUAGCUACAGGACCGUGGGAGGGCAAUGCCAAGGGCAGAACCAGUGUGUUUUGGAGGGAAAUGAAAGUGGGUUCUUCUCUCUCAGAUUCAUAACAGGUGUGGAGCUAGCGAGAGGCAGACGAUGGAGUGGGUCCCCAGCGUCACGUUCCUAGCUCCUCUUCUCCCUCUAAGGCUCGAGGUGGGGGAGGGAGUGGGUGCCGAGGCUGGCCUUGCAGGGUGCGGGUUCAGGACCGGCUUAGCCCAGAGAUAUUGGCCUGAGAACCUGUUCACACAGACACACUGUUCCCUCGGCCCCGGCUCAGAGGAGAUCCCACCCUGGGUGUCCGUGCAACCCUGGGAACUCCUGGAAAUGCAUCUGCAGUGGAGACAGGACGCCAGCCGCAAACAGCCUGCAGCCUCGGAGGACGCAUGGCUCUUGCCCAUUAUUACCGGCCGGAAAUGGGUGCUGGUGGGGGGCUUUAUCUCAGUUCUGAAAGUCCGAUGAUGUACGCCCUGGCUCAGGUCCUCGAUCCUUGAGCGCCGGUUCCCAAACUCCAAAUCCCCGACAGCCAAAGAUUUUUAUAACUCACCUGGUGGCAAGUCCCAGGCUAAAGUGAUGUGGGGUUAAUUGAUGGUCUUAAUUACUUACUGUAUUAUUUCAUUAUUUACUUUAAAUGUUUAUAUGUUUCCCUACAGAAAUAUUAGUGUGUUGGAUUACGGGGUGUUCCUGAGAACACGCGGGUGUUACAUAAUCUACUCAUAUACACACCGUAUACCUUUUCUGAAACCCUACAUUCCUGAAUGUUGAGCUAUCUGGCCCUGAGAUCAACUAUAGUGGGCUCAUAUUAUUUCCAUUUUACGUACAAGGAAAACUCAGGUUCUGGGAAGAAUCAGUCAUCCUGCCUGAUACCACAAAGCUCCUGAGUGACAGGCAGACGCGAACCCAGGGUCUUCUGACGGUCCAUCCUGCACUCUCAGCCAUCAGGAACAGGGCCUGUGCUUCUUAAAUGCAUGUGAAUUCAGAGGUUAGAACAACUAUGGUUUCUGUGAGCGCCUUUUAAAACCCUCUGUUCCGAGAACAAGGGCACAACACCGAGACCGCCCAACCACAAGUCCCUGAUUGGAUCUGGCAUGCGAAGGUCUUUGUAGAGCCCUCUUAGUUAUUUUUAUAAUAAACUUCAAAAAGCUUUCUGUGCUUUGGAUAUUUAUUCUUUCUGGACAUAGUGGUAAGCAGAGAUUUAUCCACAGAAAGCCAAGAGUUUAACGAAGGCUUUUGUACUGCAAAUGUGUU
Non-coding RNA from Callorhinus ursinus (northern fur seal), 5552 nucleotides. Lineage: Eukaryota; Metazoa; Chordata; Mammalia; Carnivora; Otariidae. The record is from RefSeq and is a predicted model, not a curated record.